GUCACUGUGAGGUUCUUCUUCACAGCAGUGGUUUUGUUUUUCCCAGCAGAUGGCAGAGCUGGGCAGGACUGUGAGGGUGAGUGGUCUGCCUACAGACAUUGAGGAUGACAGGUUGAGAGACAAACUAUAUAUCCACUUCCUGAGAACUAAGAAUGGAGGAGGGGAAAUUGACUCUGUCGCCAUUGAUGAGGCAACACCAGACUCUGCCCUCAUCACCUUUGAGGACAGUGAAGUGGCACAGAGAGUUAUUCAACAUAGCUGGCACAUUCUGGAAGUGGAUGGGAAGAAGUAUGAACUCAUUGUAACUGAGCAUCACGAGAGCCUGGACCCAGACAAGGUCAUCGUAAGUUUGUCAGCAACUGUAGACUACAGCCAACUUUCAGGAGGAAUAAUAGCAUUGACAGGCCUACAUAGGAACCACCCUGAUAUCCAGAUAAACUACAAUGAGACGUUGUGCACUCUGCAGGGCGCAUAUUGCAAAGUCCAGGCUGCCUUGGCAGAACUGCUAGCACAGUCUGGAGGUUCACAAUCAGCAGAACAUAAAGACUCAGCUCAACCUGCUACCAGUGCCCCCAAGUCUACUCAUACAGUGCAAAAGCAUCAUACUUCGGAGUCAGAAUAUUACAGCAGGAAACCAACUAAGCAAAGAGAACAAAGAGAGAAAGCUAACAUUGGCAGGCCUUGUGAUAAGCGCAGCUCAAGCUCACAUAGAGACUUGGCACCUGAUGGAUAUGACUGGGAUGAUACAGAGCAGCCUCAAUGUGGAGCUCUGCAGCUUCCUGGGCAUCCGACCAUGUCAGCAUCAGAGGACCACUCACUAAUUUUGGAUGCAGACAUGUUCCAGUAUUUGCAGAAAUGCUGUAGGAAGGAAUACCAGCAUAUCCUUAGUCAACAUGGUGUUGAGGUGGUGGAUGUGACAAAUCAGGGCUUGACUACUCUGUAUCUGCAGGUCACAUCAGCAGUGGGGGAGGAUGGUCAAGAGAAAGAGCGUUUGAAGUUGGGAAACAGGGCAAUAAGUAAGUUUUACCAGGAGAAUGAGACCAAGAUCCGUCGAGCUCAGCUACCUAAGAAUAUCUUGUCUCCCAAGGGAAGCCUGCAAAGGGCGAUUGAGAAAUUUAGUGUCAGACUUCCCAAGCUUCUUCUGAAUGAAGAUGAGAGUAAUGUCUAUAUUAUUGGGAGCAGUAGUGAUGUGUCUGAGGCCAAGCAUUUUUUUCUCAUGGACCACGGCCAUGAAGAGAGAGGUAAAAAAGAAGAUGUAGCCAGUCUUCUUAAAUAUCCCUCUUUUGAUUCGGGUUCAUCAACUCCUGCUGUUGAGGAGAGAGUUUUUUCGUCCUCUGCAGGAUCGUUGGAUGUUAGGAUAGAUCAAAUGCUGCAAUCAGAGGAGACUGAGAGGAGAGAUGAAGGAGCCAGAAGGUAUAAACUAGCUGCACGGUUUAAGGAUUCAGGGCUGUCUGUAUUAGGGAGUCGACCAGGGGACUUCACUGUACGGGGGCUCUCAACACCCAGUAGACAAACACGCCUUGGCCCAAUGUUAGGGCAUGAUGUACUGUCAGAAACCACAGGGAUUGAUGGUGAAAGAGUCUCUAGAGCAGUAGCUCAAAACAGUGGAGGUGACAUCUUGUUUAAGAGUGGAGAUGCUUUGCAUUCAUCUGCUUCUAUGCAGAGUAAAACCUCCUUGAACUCAAAUUUAAUGGAUACUCGACCCAAGAGUGCAACAGCCCUUGGCACAACUCAGACCAGUCUGUCAGGAAGUACUACACUCCCGCCUGUUGGGUAUGGGUCCACGUUAAAGCGAUCCAGCAGUUUUUCGGGAAUGCCUGAGCAUAAAGCUGAAGGUAAGGGUCAGAAGCAUCAAGAUGACAUGGGCAAGUCCAGUGUUAGAGUCAGGGGCAGGUCUUCUAGCUUCAGUAACCAAAAAGGGAGGGACAAGCAAGGCGUCUAUAAAGCAGAGAUUACAGUUUUCGCUCUCCUGUGGCAUUACAUAAAGGAGGCCUACAGCAUGCGAGUGGAAGACCUGACUUCUGAUGUCCAGAUAAAAGAGAGUGGCCCACAAAGUAGCAGGGAUUUGACUAUCAUCAUAAGAGGGGCAGAUUCGGCCAAAGUAAGCUCAUGUCAGAUAGGUUUACAGAAGCUGAUUGACACGGUCCAUGCAGAUUUCUCUGUGCAGGAGAUAUGCUUGUCUGACCUAGGUGUGGCUGACCCAGCAGAUGAAACUUUACAGGUUUGUUGUACUGAGGUGCGUAACCGGUUCAAGAAGGUUACUAUCCAGAUUUUAAGGAAUAGCAUAUUUCUUUUGGGCCCAAAGCGAUUGUGUUCUCAGGUAUGUGCUUCACUGCGGGAGGUAUUUUCUGGAGAUUUGGGCCAAAUACCUGAACUACAAGAUUUGUCUAGCUUCUCUACAUCCAUCUUGAAUCCGUCCACACAUUUACAAAUGAAUGAGGACCAGAGUACUAGUCUGCAGGGUCAUAGUAAUGCUCAGGUUACACUAGAGAACCAAACAGGCAAUGAUUUUGAAAAUAGUAGAAGUCAGGAAAGGAGAACAACCUUUAGGGGUGACUUUUAUGAGACCGAGCUUCUUAAUGGAUCUUUUAGCCAACCAUUAGUGGGGAAAGAUCCUGUCAUUAAGGAGAAAGUUAAAAUGGCAGGCGCUGUGGAGCUGGAUGGACAAAAGAUUGAGACAUUUGCCAACCUCUCAACAAAAGGAAAUGAUGCAAGCGCAACACGUGUAAAUGGUGUUGGGUCAACAUCAACCCAUAUUGAUAAAGAAAUGGGCCUUCACACGAAAGAGACGACCAAACAAGCAGAGAUCCAGGACACCCCAGAGGAGUCCAGGUUAGGUCAAGGGGACCUGGGGCCCAUCUGUGUGUGUGGGGAAAGGGGGGUGUCAAUGACAAGAACCGAUUGUGGUGCUACCAUGUGCUUUAAGUGCCUGGACACUGUGCAUAUCCAUUGCAGAGUUUGUGACGGGCAAGAGCUGACACCCCGAGGCAUCCAGGGCGAAAUGAGCUACUCUAAACUAAAUAUCAUUGUACCAGGUCACAACAAGGCUUUUGCUAUCAAGAUCACUUACUGCAUUCCUGAUGGUAUCCAAGGGGAGGGCGACCCUUCUCCUGGAAAACCAUUUUAUGGAGGUGUAUAUGAAGCCUACCUUCCUGACUUUGAGAAGACCAGGAAGCUUUUGCCCAGGCUGAAGAAAGCCUUCAGGCAGGGACUCACCUUCACAGUGGUCGGCAAAGAGACAGAGGCCAGGGUUACCUGGGAUUGCAUCCCACAUAAGACCAGCCUACAAGGAGGCAAAUCAGGGAAUGGUUACCCAGAUUCCUCUUACUUGAAUCGCUUGUCUGAGGUCUUGGCCUCACAUGGGAUUAAGGAGUCACCAGCCAAGUCUCAAGAAUAAGAAACAGUCACAGAGUUUAUAUGUAGUUUGUACUUUUUAUCUUUUUGUGGCAAUGCCAUUUGCACUGUAUUUGUUGAAUCAUCCCAGGUUAUGCUGUUUUGUAGAGCAAAAAGCAUUCUUAUACAAAUUCUAGUCUUUUUAGCUCUUAUUGCAGCUAUUUUGGAUUUUUUUUGGUUAAAGAACCUGCCUCACUGUUGUUUAAUUUUCCAAAAAAAUGUGUGACAAUUUGACCAAUCACAAACAUCUUCAUUAUUUCAUGUAAUUCCUGACAAUUUAUAAAUUCAGCUUUAUUUUGUAUGAGUGCAUUUUAUACUGUAUAGUGUGGAUAGUUUUGUAUAUAUGUGUACAUUUUGUACCCUCCCAAAUGGUUUUAAUGAUUAUCUACUACAGAAUAAUUAAUUUUAAAAAAUCUGUCUUUGCUUUUCUUCUUUUUUUAUUUUCAGAAUGGGCACAGAAAUAAAAAAGCACCUCGACUUUUUGUUAUGCUUUUUUUAUUAGUCCUGGAAAACAUGUAAGGCAUAUGGUAACAUUACACACUGAAGCGUUACAAGCUCUAGAGGCCAUGUGGACAACAUGGCACCACGCAGUAAACCCAGAGUCAAGCACAGAAGCAGCAUCAAUUCAAAGGGUUUAAAAAACAAAGUAGAGACGAGUAGAGUGCUGUUGCAACUAGGGGAGAAAAAAACAACAACACAAGGAAGGACAGAGUAGAGGAGCUCUAGCUUAGAAAUCAACCUGUUGGGUAUGCCUUGUAGAAAAUUACCAGUGGUGACUGACUUCUAACAGGUAGUGUGUAGCAGAAUGGAUGUGAAGUGAGUUUUUGAAGCAUUCCCAGAGAUAGAUUAAGGUGUGUCAUGAAUGUACCAGGCCAUGCUGAAGGUGACGACAGGGAGUCAGGUGGCACAGGAGGCAGUGGAUUGGCUUCAGUUGGCAUCUUGAUACGACUGGAAGGGCUUUCUCCUACCUCACACCACGCCACUACAUGACUACUAAACUAACAUGAAAGAGACGGUGAGCUGUACAUACACACAUGCCUUUUUUUUCUGGUUGACUAAACAUGCAUCCUAGUACUGUACAUGACAAGUCAGGUUGUACUUUCUUAGCAUCUCUGCAAUGUUGUGAUUGUGCUGCAUUGCAAUACCUUAAACAAGACUGCUAAGAAACAAAUAGCUGCAAGCAGAUGUGAGUGAAGAUGAGUGAAGACAGCAGCUCUGAACUUGGAUAUAACCCAUACACAGAGCCCUCUCCUUUUGACUCAGAAUACUAUUGGUGUGAAGGAAAAUUGGUGUGACAGUUUGUGCAGUGAACUCAGUGGAACAAAAUGUUUUUGUGAACGCAAAAUAUGUGAAUUAUUACAUGAUGAAAACUGCUGUUUGGAAUGACCUGAGAAACCAUAUAAAAGUGAAAGAAAUUCACCUCAAAGCUGAACGGUGGGUGCCUGUGAGGGACUUCAGCGAUACAAGCCAAGACAAACAGAAGAAUAGCUAUUGGAAAUAUUACACUCAUUGUCCUAGUGCAUUUUUUAGACUUAAAACUACGAGUGUUUAUUAGUAAUAUCAAAUCUAGAACUGCAAAUGUUCAGAAAUGUUCAUUUUUACUUAAAAACACUGUUUUACUACUGUGCAUCUCUGAGUUGCUAAGUACUCUUGCAUACGUGUCUGCAAUGACUGGGAAACCAUUUCAAGAUGACAUACAUUGCAGCUUCACCACGAUGGAAAAGCGCUCAGGCAGCAGGCCAAAGUAGGAAGGGGUGGACUCGGGUUCAACCAACAGAUCCAUUUGAACCCCAUACCCAGACAUGAAACACCCACCUCACUGAUUGAGUUCAUUUCAAAGGCAUCUCAGCUCAAAAGAGCCAAGGGGAAAAUGUUAAAAGAAAAAAAGAAAAAGAUUAUAAUCUGUUUUCCACAUGCCAAUGAAUGCAUGCAAUUUCAAAUUCCAGAUGUCAAAGAAGUGUUUUAUUUGCUAUGAAUGUGUAUGCAGUGAGAAGGGGGUGAUAUGGAGAGGAGUUUUGGCCCGCUCCUGCUGAACUGCGACUGUUGCAUCCGCAGAGCCUCUUGGCUGCAGCACAGGAAAAGAAGAACAACUCUAAUAAUCCUUGAGUGAACUGAGAUCAGCUGUAAAGCGGAAAUGUUGUGUCUGGGGCAGGCCAUGGCUGAGCUAUGAUCAGCCAAUAAGCUGGGGUUUUGUGCAGCUGUGUUACAGAAUUGGCAUCCCUGCACAGCUGUGUGAAAACAUCUGCUCCCUCACUUGCUAUACAAGCCACUUGGAAACAAACUGAAAUAAACAGAAAUCCAUAGAGAGGAAUACCAUGGAGCUUUGGAUUGGAGGAAUUUUGCAGAUUUCUGUGUAUCUAUAUGUUUUUAAUGGGAUUUUGAACCUUAAAUGCACCUUGUCCAGUUCCUUUUCACUGUGAUACUGAUGUUAGGGUUGUAAACACGUCGGAGGAGUCAACCUGUAGUGGUCAACGUAAUAUGAGAGCUGGUAAAACACAGUGAAAAGGAUACGGAUACGGAGGGAGGCGCCUCGGAUUGAGGUAAACUGUGUGCAAGGAGAGAGGCACAGUGCAGACCUACGUUUGAGCAAGACUGCAACCAAUCGAAAACUACAAAUUGUGUUAAACCUUUUGUAAACUGCAGCAAAAAUUCUGUCAGCACCCAUGAGCAUUUGGGAUACAAAUCUGACACACUGUGACUUUUCUUCAAGGUUGACGGAAAUGCAUCCAAAAACAGAAUUUUCUUCAUAUUUUUUAUGCACUGUUAAUAUUCAAAGCAUUGACAGAGGAAUAUACAUACAAUUUGGCACACAUGGUUCGGACCAACAGAAAGACUUCAUCACAUUUAAAAAGGAGUGCAGGUUGGCAGGUCCCCACAUAAAGAGUAUGAGCUUUGAACUUUAAACCCUUGGAUAACAAAAACAAACAAACAAACGAAAAUAUAAAGGUAAAUUAAAAUAACAUAUUAAGUAAAACAUCUUUUUUUUUUUUUUCUCUUACUGAAGCGUUUGUUUCUCACAUGGCACUCAGAACAGAAGCACCGUCCACAGGUUCACAAAGGGAGCCCAGCAGAUUAGAACAGAACACUAACCAGAGGCUGACAGGACACAGUCACUCCCCACACCAGCGUGACGGUCGCACUCCAGCCCAGUCGACACCGCCCCUGCUCCACGUUUUACUUCCCACAGUCAAGGAUGGAUGAAUGCUUUGAUUUUAGCUGCCACCCAGGAGAAGUUGGCCCGGGCAGGGACUGGCAAGCUGAAAAUGAGGGGACCUUUACAUGAGUGUGUGUGUGUAUGGUUUUUUUUCUAUAUGUGUGUUUGUGUGUGUGUGUGUGUGCCACCUGUGCUUUCACUGAGAUUCAGCAGAUACACUGGGAGUGGAUGAUGGGAAACAGGCUGCAAACCUGGAGCAGAAUCAAAGCCUGUGGGACUGGAGUGUGACUGCCAUGCUUGUAAGUGCAUUAAGAUCAGCGAGCAGAGUGCAAAAAUACUAAUACCAACUGUCCUCAUAACACAGGCCUCUUAUCAGACAGGAGGGAGAGAUAGAAUAGGAAGGGAGGUCUGGGUUGAAGCUACAUUAAUACUGAGGAGGAGGAGGAGGAGGAGGAGGAGGGUGGGGUGUGGCAGGGUAAGGGUGGGUUCUUUUAAAACCUGACAAACGACCUGAGGACACACACAUCUUCACACACAAUGGCACACCACACACAGCACAUGAGGGAGGCCACUCAUGCUAACACAACAACUUUUUUUCAAAUUAUUAUUUUUUUUUAAACAUUUUGUUUGUUUUUUUACAAAGUCACUAGUCACCAUCUGAGUCUCAACACUGAGGCCGGACAGACAGGCAGGCAGGCAAGCAGGCAGGCAGAUAAAUGUCUAAAUGUCAAAGUUAAAAUCCACCUACGUGAAAGAUUGAUUUAGAGUCGAAUUAUACUUAAUCGACUUUUGACUCGAUGCUAGUCAGACAAAAUUCAUACUGGCCAUUAGGGAAGCGGUGCGCUGUUUUAGCCAGACUGCUGCUAAUUGCACACAUUGUCAAUACUAGAUUAAAAUUUCAAGACUGGUUUGGUUCAGCAACAACCUUGAAACUGGCUCCAGCUCUUUGUUUUACCCCUCUGAUGAAAUUCUUAAUACAUUUAACACCUGUUGAAAUACUGGUGGACAGCACCGACUGUUUGCAAAUAUAGAGUUAGGGAGGCAGAAAGGAGAGACAGGGAGAGGGAGUCAGAGAAGCAGACCACAGUGCCAUCUCUGACGAGCCUGACGCCUGUUGCUAUGCCGACCAUAGAGAGGGAAAUGGAAAGAGGAGGGUGAGAGAGAGAGCGAGAGAGAGAGUGAGUGAGUGUGGAGUAGAGUUGAGAGAAAGAGGGGAGGCAAAGUAUGGAUGCCAGCUUGAAUUGAAUCCUCCUCUCCCAAGUCAGGGUGAUCGACGGGCGAGCGGCCGCCGUGAAAGGAGCACAAUGCCAUGGAAUGCCUCGAGGAGGAUCAGGGAGGAUGAAAGCCUGAUCCAAAGGAAAAGGGACUGGUAUUCACCUUCUUAACUUGCUCAUUUCAGACGCUUCACUGUCUCAGCAUGACAGUGCCUCUUUCAUCACAGUCAGUGUGUGUGUGUGUGUGUGUGUGUAUGUUUGUGUGCGUGUAUGUGUUUGUGUGUGUACUUGUGGCUUGUUUGAGCAGAAACAAAUUCUCUCUUAAUUGGCAGCGCUCACUUCUUGCCAACAGUUGGUCAGCUAGAAAAAUCUGUAACUAAGGAGAAUGAAGCUGAGCAAUGAUUUCUGCCUCCCUAUUCAACACUGCACAGAGAGACUCAUUAUGAGGGAUAAAUUCAUAUUCAGGCAAGGGCAACAACUGCAGCCAGUACAGUAUAUUCACUUCACUGAAUGCAUGCAUCAUGGAGCUGUUUCCCUUGCCACUGGUGAAUGCUGAUAUGUGUGUCCAAGCUAAGGCCUUAUAAGUAAUAACCGAAUACCAAUGUGGAGUUUGGCAGGGCGUUAUAGUAAUAACACCAUUGUCUGAGCAGUCGAACAUCAUGAUCAGAGCCACAAAGCCAAUAUCUCCAGGGGAGGUUAGGUGCAUCAGCCAAUCACAGGCAUCUCUGACUCAUCCUCAGUGACAUAACAAAGCAUUGGACACUAAGAGAGAGCAAUGUGUGGGUGGGUGUGGUUCUUCCUUUUUAUCUGCCUGUCUCUGUGCCUGUCUGUGGGUCCGUCCAGUGAGUGGGGUGGUGGUGUGGGAGGUGAGGGGGUGUUGGUGGCAAAAGAGGGGGGAAGGGGUGGAAGUGGUUUUGGUGGUGGUGAUGGUAAUGGUAAUGGUUUGGGGGAGGG
This is an RNA transcript of Scomber scombrus (Atlantic mackerel), 8715 nucleotides long. RefSeq lists it as uncharacterized. The record is from RefSeq and is a predicted model, not a curated record. The transcript is spliced from 6 exons. Lineage: Eukaryota; Metazoa; Chordata; Actinopteri; Scombriformes; Scombridae.